RNAcentral lists this ribosomal RNA (312 nucleotides) under uncultured bacterium. RNAcentral describes it as "bacterial SSU rRNA". It matches the Rfam family "Bacterial small subunit ribosomal RNA", at positions 28 to 334 of the family's 1533-position model. The record is from RNAcentral.
GAUGAACGCUGGCGGCGCGCCUAACACAUGCAAGUCGAACGAGCGAGAGAGAGCUUGCUUUCUCGAGCGAGUUGGCGAACGGGUGAGUAACGCGUGAGGAACCUGCCUCAAAGAGGGGGACAACAGUUGGAAACGACUGCUAAUACCGCAUAAGCCCACGACCCGGCAUCGGGUUGAGGGAAAAGGAGCAAUCCGCUUUGAGAUGGCCUCGCGUCCGAUUAGCUAGUUGGUGAGGUAAAGGCUCACCAAGGCGACGAUCGGUAGCUGGUCUGAGAGGACGACCAGCCACACUGGGACUGAGACACGGCCCAG